AUAACUUCUCUAGUUUCUUAUCUCAUGUUGCAGAUGGGCGUGGCUAUCCACUAAAGGCCAAGACAAAAGUGUGUCCUAUUUGCAGAGGUUACAAUUCCUCCGUUCACAUCAACAUGCAGUACUUGUAAAGGGUCAGGCCAAAUAAUCAAGGAACAUUGUAUGUCAUGUGGAGGAUUAGGGAUAGUUGAAGGUGCAAGAGAGGUUGAAGUUACCAUCCCAGCAGCUGUGGAUUCUGGAGAUACAAUCCGCGUACCAAAGGCUGGGAAUAGUGGGCCACGGGGAAGUCAGCCAG
This is a long non-coding RNA of Rosa chinensis, 292 nucleotides long. RefSeq lists it as uncharacterized. The transcript has 4 exons. The record is from RefSeq and is a predicted model, not a curated record. Lineage: Eukaryota; Viridiplantae; Streptophyta; Magnoliopsida; Rosales; Rosaceae.